RNAcentral lists this ribosomal RNA (426 nucleotides) under uncultured soil bacterium. RNAcentral describes it as "bacterial SSU rRNA". It matches the Rfam family "Bacterial small subunit ribosomal RNA", at positions 966 to 1393 of the family's 1533-position model. The record is from RNAcentral.
GAACCUUACCCAGGCUCGAAAUGUAGAGGACGAUAUCAGAGAUGAUAUUUCCCGCAAGGGCUUUUAUAUAGGUGCUGCAUGGCUGUCGUCAGCUCGUGCCGUGAGGUGUUUGGUUAAGUCCCGCAACGAGCGCAACCCUUAUCCUAUGUUGCCAGCGCGUAAUGGCGGGGACUCGUAGGAGACUGCCGGGGUCAACUCGGAGGAAGGUGGGGUCGAAGUCAAGUCAUCAUGCCCCUUACGUCCAGGGCUGCACACAUGCUACAAUGGCCGGUACAACGGGCUGCUAUUCCGCGAGGAGGAGCCAAUCCCUAAAGCCGGUCUCAGUUCGGAUUGGAGUCUGCAACUCGACUCCAUGAAGUCGGAGUCGCUAGUAAUCCCGGAUCAGCAACGCCGGGGUGAAUACGUUCCCGGGCCUUGUCACACCGA